This 9421-nucleotide long non-coding RNA is filed under the name Triticum aestivum (bread wheat). RNAcentral's name for it is "long non-coding RNA (TAES_LNC003690)". The record is from RNAcentral. Lineage: Eukaryota; Viridiplantae; Streptophyta; Magnoliopsida; Poales; Poaceae.
CGGCAACCGUAACAUUGAAGUCGCAGGAGGCGGGGAGUGUCACCUCAACGGCGCCCCCAUGGUUCACGUACGACUUCACACCCUGAGGCAGGAGAGCCCGCGGGAAGUUGUUUUUCUCCAAAAGGUCGUACGCUGUGUCGGAGGUGGCUGCUUGGAGGACAGAAGCCAGGAAGACGAUGAGGAGCAGAUGCCGGAUGGCCAUGUCUAGCUAACUGUUGCUGCUUACAAAUUGUAUCAAGGAAUAUGAGGAACUAGGAAGUAUGUGUAGACUGAGGCCCUGGCCACGUAUUAUAUAUGCUGCCCAACGAAAUCAAAGUCAAUCGUACUUUAAUUGCAUUUAUUUUGUUCCUGAUUAUCACUCCAUCAACCACCACAUCAAAUAUGCUAAAAAUAUCAUCCCAUUAAAUCAUAUUUAUUUCUGGCCUAGAACAUUCUAUAGUUAAUGGUUAUGCCAAAACGUUCCUCAAAUAUUCAUAAUCAAUACGUACCAUAAAAUGAGACUGAAAUUUCAGAGCAACAUUCAUUUACGUACUUCACAGCCGACAUAUGAAACAUAUGCAAAAACCUAAAAAUGAAUCAAGGGGAAACAUCAACAUCCAAACAGUUUGAUCCUUGAUGUUGGCUUGGGUACCAAUGAGGCUUCUCUUCUCUUCAAAUAAUGUUGUGCAGUGCAACUAAAACAUAAAACACCCGCAAGAAAGAAAUAUUUCAUUUAGAUAUACUUGAGUUUUACAUGAGUAUGCGGUGCAAUAGAAUGAUUAUCUCCCAUUGUGCAGAUCAUCUCUUUCAGGAUGCCUACUCAGGCCAGCACAGACUCAUACAUAACAUCUCCGUGAAAGUUUCCACAAUGUUAUAGCAUGAACUCCCAGACCGUGAGAGAGGCUCAGUACCCAUAUCCAAAAUGAAGAGUGCGGAGGAGCAGGUGCCUACCCCUCCACCUUCCACUUCUCUUAAAAUUUUCCUGUGCAAUGCAACUCAACUAAAAAACAACUCCAAGCAAUAUAUUCAAUUUAUAUCUUGUUGGGUUAUGAUACGUCUCCAACGUAUUUAUAUAUUUUUUAUUGUUCCAUGCUAUUAUAAUUGUUGGGUCAUGAGCCGAAAGCAAGCCAUCGAACAUGCCAAUGUUGGAUUGGAUGAGAUUGUCGACCGCCUGAAGGAGGUUCUCAUCGUGAUCCUUGAAGAGCCGGUCCAGACCUACGGUGAAAUACGCUCGUUGAAGCGCGUACACGCCACACCUUUCCUUGGACGGCUUGUCCAUCGCCUCCGCUCACGGCCGAUCACGCCACCGCAUCCCGUGAUGGUGUCGCGGCAACUCCAGGACCACUUAAUCUUAUACCAAUUGUGAGCAACUCACCUGAUCGAGAGGAAUUGCUAGGGAUUAGAAUUCGAAAUUGCGGAAAUUGGUUUCUUAGCUAGACGUCCGUCCACCCUCACAGCUACACUACACCGCAUGUUGUCAUCAUCCAAAUCCCAGCCAGGAGAUAGGAGAGAAGUAUAAUGCCUACUAGCUUAGCCCGCGCGGCGACACGCCGCGCCCAUCGAUCAGUCGCGACUAUGUAGACUAUGGUCCAAGCAAUAGAGUAAUAAGUAGUUAUGAUGAAAUUUGUUGCAUAACUUGAGGCUUUUUAGCAAAUUCUUUUGUUCACAACAAUUUAUAGACACAAAUAUCUAUCUUUCGUGGAAACUUUUAGUUUAUUUUGUACAUAGCAAGGGUCUGUCCACCAAGUUGAAACAAAUACACAACAUGACCAAAAGUAAGGAACUUCAGAACAGUGCUUUCGUAGCUAAAAUUUAAUAAUUUUUCACAUUUCAUAACAUAAAUACUUAACUAAAACUUACAUCUGAUCUGAAGUACAACCAUUGAGACAGUAAAAAAACCACUAUUUUGAUCAUCAGAAAAAAAUUAAUGUGCAUUUCAUGGAAAAAGUUUAGAGACAAAAUAAUUUAGCCAAGAGAAAAACUAUUUCAGAUCACAAAAGGCGCUCCAAAGAGUAAUUGUGUAUAUUAUUCAAAAGAACACUUUGUUACCUUCAGGCUUUAAUUAGCCCCAUUGUAUCUUGUGGAAUCAUGCAGUGAUACAAAUUCUUACCAUAAACAAAAAAAUUAAGCAGCUCUUAAUAUAGAAACAACCAUAUCACUCUGAAUCAAGGGAGCAUGAUGCGAUGAACUGAUGACGGGGAAUCUAUGGUAGCAUAUACCCAGGAAACAGUGUUCAUGGAAACUUUGUUAAACAACCCCUUGCUCAGCUUAAAAGUAUUCCUUCCUGGGUCUCCACUGAAACAAAGCAAUAUUUAUACACCCACAGGUGAGAACAAUAUGAGAUUGUUCGAUAUAAAACCAACAAUGCUUGAACAUACUUGUUUCUCUACCUCACCAUGUGGCAACCAGAAAAAGCUUUAACAAUUUAAAAACCACUUGCAAAUUGAAGUUGAGAGCCUUCACUUAUUUCUCGAAAUGGAAGGAGGAAGGGGCCUUAAUUUGUCCCAGUAACCCCAUGAAUAUAAUUAGCCAAAUAUGUGGCAUUUCAUCUUAUUACAUGGUCAUGCUGAAGGAGGGAACAUCAAUAAAAUUAGGCAUAAGAAAUCCAUCAAAUGAAGAGAGAUGUACUUAGAAAUAAGAAUAACAAACAUUCUCAGAUACUAUGUACCUUAUCCUGCCUCUAAGAAUAUGUCAAGAAGGUGAAUCAUUCACUUUUAUGUUACCGUUGCUGACAACGGACAACUGUGGAUGGAAACAAAAUUCUCAGCAAUGCAUAUAUGAAACUAAGUAACAUGACUUAGAAAAUAUAAUGUAAAAUAUCACAAUAAACUACUACUAAGUAUGUUCAAUAGUAAUACAACCUCAGUUUGUACCCCAGAAAUUUCUAUCACCAAAACAUCUUAGAAGGUUCAGUGCUAGUGAUGUGCCUGCCAUAAGACCGAAUGCCAAUUUCUAGUUAAAAAAUAACCGCGCAAGACCAUAUUCCUCUACCGCAAAGGGUAUAUGAUCAAGUGGGGCCAACUAAAGACAGGCCCCACGAUUCCAUUUUUUAAUGUAUGUUGUUGUAUAAUGAAUGACGCGCUUGUAUGCUUACGUGACUAUUUGGUUUUUGAUGUGAUGGAAAUUGGAGGGAAAGAUGCUGGACGGACUAAUUUGAUCAAUCGGGUGAGUAGAAGUAUUAGAGUUUUGGCCAUCUCAUCCAUUAAAUUUGGAUGGAGGGUAUGCAUCUUAAUAUGAUAAACAUAUAUGCAUACCGUAUAUGGGUUAUAUACAUAUAAAAAUCAGUGCAGCAGGCAUUUUUUCUGAAUCUAAACAUCUUGGUGGCCGAGUUCCAGUGUGAAAAUAUUGGUUUUAGUCCCUGGUCAAAUGGACUGAUGCAUAUUAUGUUUGGUUGUACCACGAAAAAUAAUUUGGUUGCUUUAAGACAUUCAACCGAGGUAGACGAUGCAAUUUUGGCUGACAUGAAGUUUUACGAUCAUCAAUAUAGCAGAAUAUGCAAAAGAUGGGAUAAAGCAAGUCAUAUCUACUCCCUCAGUCCCAUAAUAUAAGAGCGUUUUUGACACGAUGGAGGGAGUAGUUUGUUUAUUUGUUUGAGGAACACUUAUUUGCUUGGAGAAUAAUGAAGUGUGCUUGCACCGGUGCACAUGAGAUGAACUUGAACAAACGAUCUGCAUUCAUAUAUGCAUUGUACCAGAAAUCAGUGCUGCUCUAACUUGCCUCUGCAUUGCCUCUGAACCAGUGCUGAUCUAUAUCGGAGAUCAGGAAUUUACUCAUCAGGUCACUGCAUCUACUUUAUUGCGAUUAAACCACCAAACUCAAAGAAAUACCUGCAAUUUAUUUAAUAGUCUUAUUUGAUUUUUUAUUCAGAAUGCGUUGAGCUAUUUCUUUUGCCGAGCUACAUUCUUGUACAUUGGAUUCUCAAGGAGCAUCACUUGCGAGACAUAUCUUCACAUACUACCAUUUCAGAACACCACUCCCUUCACGCACAGGACAUACAUGUUCUACAUCCACCCCUCACACUCCUAAUUUCAAAACCGAGUUGGCAGGUUAUUGUAAGGCAGGUAAGCAACCUUCUAGAUGGAAUGUUGGAAUUUACUCUGGCAAGGUAGGUCUUAAACAUAUUAUCAUCUGGCUAUCUACUGUUUGAGCUCCCCAUGCUGCUAACACCAUCAAAUAUUGUUUGCUCCGGACAUCUUCAUAUGCCAAUUUGACCUUCUUUUUGGCAGACACAGUAUCUCAGAACAUCUAAAUUGACUCCUUGCACAGGUCUCUGAAUUGACACAAUCAGAAGGAUAAAACAAUCGCUAGAGCUCUUAUAGGAAGUCAGCCAUCAUUUUACUUAGACUAAAGAAGGUGUCUAUCACAAAAAAGGAAAAAAAAGUAAGUGCGAAGAAACACAUGUAGGGUUGCACAUAAUUUGUAAGAGAUGAUCAAGGCAUAUAGUUGCAGCAAGUAGCAAAUGGCAUGAAUUUAUUCAUGAUGCACUCACGCAUCAAGGGUGUAAAUCUUCUUUAGCUAGGUCCAAAUGCAGAUAGAUACAGUACAUGAAUGAUGUGUGAUAUGUCAUUGUAGGUUUCAGACCUGAUGAAAAGUUUAUUACAGUACACGAAAAAUAUUCAUGAAACGGUUAUACAGUACAGGAAUGAUGAGAAAUCGGAAAUUUCUGUACAGGAAUGAUGUAUAAUAAAUUGCUGAGAGGAAUAAAGAAGAUGCAGAAUGUCUGAAACUUCUCAAAACUGGAAACAAUUAUACAAAAGCUACCUGACAGAGUAUACGGCUAGGAAUCUGCCUAAUUCAGUGUCUCUUAUAAUCCACCAACGACUACGGCGUAAUCACCAUCAUUGCGGCUCAACCAGAAUUCGAUCGAAUAAUGAGGCAAAUAAAGCAGCUAAUAUGGGGUAAAUGCACACUAACUUGGCAGCAAGAACAGAUGGGUCAUAAGCGCCUUCAGUGACCCUACGACCUGCAAAUGGCAGUAUACAGACAGUGCGCCUUUACUCUGAAUAACCGAGAAGGAGCUAUCUUUAUCCUCUUUUUUUGCGGGGGAGCUGUCUUUAUCCUCCACUCAAGCUAGAUAUACUUACAAAGUUAGAGUUGUAUAAAGUUUUGAAGCGUAGCGCUGUGAAUGGAUCACUCGUCCAGCAGCCUCCUGACACAUAAAAUAGGCAGAGCGAGCAUUACAAGGUCCCAUAACUCGGGGUCAGGCUAGUCGAACACGAUGACGCGCACCACCGUGCGCCACGCCGACGCCAGGUAGUAGAGCGCGGGCCUCUCGCACUGGUUGUGCGCUAGGGGCUUCAUGUUGAACGCGCGCGCCUUGUAGUCAGCGGGCCAGUACCAGUUCAAGAACGUCCACGCCGGCAUCUGCAUCUCCCGCGCCAGCACAACGCCCUCGGCACCGUCACCACGAACCCCCACGCCACUGACACCGUCCACCGGUUCGCCGCGAUGUAGCAUAUCAACUGGUGCAUCACCCCCGUCGAACAGCCUCCGCAGAGACGCCGGGCGCGAACGCAUGUUGGGGAUAAGCGGUCGAGGUGGUGCAGCGAGUCAGCGACACCAGCGGUGCCACCUGGUGGGCGGCGAGGAGGCCCAGGAGGUCACCAUACACGCCUUACUCGUGGAAGCCCGAGUGUCGGCACACCCACAUCCGCCAUGCCCCAUGCACGAUGUAGUAGGGGACGGCGAGGAGGUUGUCCGGGAGGAAGACCGUGUUGUCGACUUGUCGUCACCCAUGACGAACCAGCUACACCUGGGAGACUGAGGCGGAAGGUCUCGGAGAUGACAGUCGACGUGUGAGAUGCAUGCGGAUGGCAGAGCGAUGACCGUGCGUGUAGGAGAAACCGGAGGUAUCCGGUAAGAUCUUGAUGUAUAUGCACUCCUUCCGCUUCUCCAACAGGCGCGCCAACGCCGUGAAGCCGAACACUGUAGCGUAAUCGUCGUUGUCGACACCGUGGCUGUGGCAGGUUGCGGUGGUGGUGGCGUACUCGUCGUCAACACCACCGUAUCUGUGGAGGGUGGUGGUGGCAUCCUCGCCGUCGACACCACCGUGACCGUGGCGGGCAUCAGCAGGGGCCUCGCCAGCGGCAACGUGACUAAUCAGGAGGAUAGCGUUGUGGGCGGCUUCUUCUGGGUGGAGGCAGCCGGGCGCUGCCACGCUGGGCAAGAUGCUAUGUGCGAAGAAGAGCCCUUUUAUAGGCCAGUACGGCGGUGAAUGGGUGGCUGGGUUAUGCACCGCACUGGAGCAGAGUUUUCGGGAGCGUCUAGAACACACGGCUGGACAACAGCGGCAGUAACAAAAAGGUACAUAUCGAUUGGGCCAGAAGCGGUCACGACAGAAAUACAGAGAAGCAUCGAUGUGUCUGGAAAGGGACAUAUCGAUUGGGCCAGAAGCGGCCGCGACAGAAAUACAGAGAAGCAUCGAUGUGUCAACCAACCGAUCGCCACACCCGUUGAAGAAAUUUGAAUCAAAAAACUGAACACACCACUCAUUUCUACCCUGCCGUGUACCAAAAAAAUACCACGCGCCAUACCCACAACUCACCAUAGGUCACUUUCAUCCAAUUGGUUUAAUCUCAAAGCGAAAACCUUGCCUGCAAUAGAGGCUUGGGUAUUUAAACUAGUGAUCGCUAACAUAGUAGAAGGGCGUGCUCAUAGUCCAUCAACCAUCGCGGUGGGUUGAUCUCGAACCUAGGCUGCGGUUAGAGCAUAAAAAUUGUAUGCGAUAUUGAGUCCAUCACACAAAGUUAGAACAUACAAACUAUGUGCAAUAGGAAGGGUCCAUCACACACGGUUAUAAUUAAAAAUCGUGUGCUCGGAUGGGUUGGCGAUUGGGGUGCCAAUACACACGCUUUCAAAAAGGUGUGCGAUGAAUGGGCUCGACUAGGUCUAACAUAAGUGCUACAUUAUACAAUUAUUAAUUUUUUACAAGCAAACAUAGCACCAGACAUAAUUCACAAUUGGACAACCCAUCGCACACUCUACGAUAUUUUGUUCUGCCAUUUCUCUACUAAUGGACAAAAGGCACUCGGCUUACAUCGGUAUGCCAACAUGAUGUACCUUGAGUGCGUUACGCUGAGUGUCAAANNNNNNNNNNGCGAUAUUGAGUCCAUCACACAAAGUUAGAACAUACAAACUAUGUGCAAUAGGAAGGGUCCAUCACACACGGUUAUAAUUAAAAAUCGUGUGCUCGGAUGGGUUGGCGAUUGGGGUGCCAAUACACACGCUUUCAAAACGGUGUGCGAUGAAUGGGCUCGACUAGGUCUAACAUAAGUGCUACAUUAUACAAUUAUUCAUUUUUUACAAGCAAACAUAGCACCAGACAUAAUUCACAAUUGGACAACCCAUCGCACACUCUACGAUAUUUUGUUCUGCCAUUUCUCUACUAAUGGACAAAAGGCACUCGGCUUACAUCGGUAUGCCAACAUGAUGUACCUUGAGUGCGUUACGCUGAGUGUCAAACCCGCCGAGGCAAAAUCAGCCUUUGCUAGGGGGUCUGCACACCCAAUGGCGGAGCUAUGUUGGNNNNNNNNNNNNNNNNNNNNNNNNNNNNNNNNNNNNNNNNNNNNNNNNNNNNNNNNNNNNNNNNNNNNNNNNNNNNNNNNNNNNNNNNNNNNNNNNNNNNNNNNNNNNNNNNNNNNNNNNNNNNNNNNNNNNNNNNNNNNNNNNNNNNNNNNNNNNNNNNNNNNNNNNNNNNNNNNNNNNNNNNNNNNNNNNNNNNNNNNNNNNNNNNNNNNNNNNNNNNNNNNNNNNNNNNNNNNNNNNNNNNNNNUCUUGUAGUGGAGAAUUUUCAACGUAUGAUGUAAAAUAGCCGUUGUGUCAAAAGAAUUGACAGUUAGGUCACUUUGGGCCAAAAAAAAGUAUCCAAAAGAUGCCCUAUAUACCUAUAUGUUGCAAAAGAAAAUUACCCAAAAUUUUGUCACACACAUCUAGUAGCUGCAUUGAAACCAAAAACAAUGCAGCAGGAACCCAACCACUAGCGAUGAGACUACCCCACCGCCGACAGUCGCCACCCCACACCUACUUUGACCGACUGUGCAGCGCAUGCUGCCGCCGUGACUCAAUCGGCCGUUCUCAGCCCCGCUACCACCCUGCCGCUUGGGAUGUCCGCUACCAAAUCUUGGGCCGGCGCAUCCGAUUCCACCGACUCUGGCCAUAGAAAGUUGGUGUAGCUACCGGGACAUCCCCCUUCAGUAUUUUGGCUAAUUUUGAACUUUUUGUCCGGAUCACAAGAAAAUGUUAGUAUCGUCCAUGUUGCUGAAGGGGAAUUACUACUUGGGGAUUUGCUCACUGAAUAUUGGAAUAUACUUACUUUAUGCAUGCCAUCAAAUAUAGCUCAUCCCCUGAAAGAACAAAGAUUGCUGAUGUUUUUUUCCAUGGUUUUCUAAAACAAUGUUGAUCUUUUUCAGAGAAAUGCAAUGAUUAUUUUUAGAGAACAUUCUGCAAAUCAACUAAAUAAGAGUCUAGGCAUUCUUCUUGUUUUUUUCGGGGGGAAGGUGUCUAGGCAUUUAUUAACAUGUAGAACUUACAAUGCAUGGGGAAUGAAAGAUCAAAUAUACCUUGCUCUCCUUUCUUAUUUUAGUGGCUGUUAAUGUCAUCAUAAAGAAUAUUACACAUUAGGAUUGAGUUGUUUUGCUCUUCUAUUUUCCAGUAAGCCCUGCGAUAUUUUACAACCCAUCGGACACCCUUGUCGAUCUGAUGCUAUGUAGAUCAAGAUUAUUUCUAAUUACCUGCGAGACACCGACAAAGUAUAUCAUGUGGAAUUUCUUGUUCCUGUGGUUAGGAGGCUGGGCAAAAAAUAUAUAUGAUCAUCACAAUAAUAUUAGGUCUUGGAACCAUGACUUAUUACAUAAUCAGUUUAUUCACUCUACAUAAAGCAGCGGACUCACAAAGACACAUGCAUAUUGGAUACUACAUUAUAUGGAAGGCGUGCAUGCAUCCGUAACCGAUCACACCCUUAGCUGCACCUGGGGCUCUGCACGAAGUUGCUAACCGGAAAUGACUGGUCGAACGUGGCUGCAUGCUCACUACCAGUAAACCUCAGCUUGUCACCGACGCGUUGAACCGUGUGGAAUGUGAGAAAAUCCCACUCAAAUUGGAUCCUCACGCCACCCAAUUGAGUUAUGGAUCCGGGCCGGAUAACACCACUGACUAUGCUGUCAAACCGAAUCUUGUGUGAUCCACCGGCAACCGUAACAUUGAAGUCGCAGGAGGCGGGGAGUGUCACCUCAACGGCGCCCCCAUGGUUCACGUACGACUUCACACCCUGAGGCAGGAGAGCCCGCGGGAAGUUGUUUAUCUCCAAAAGGUCGUACGCUGUGUCGGAGGUGGCUGCUUGGAGGACAGAAGCCAGGAAGACGAUGAGGAGCAGAUGCUGGAUGGCCAUGGCUAGCUAACUGUUGCUGCUUACAAAUUGUAUCAAGGAAUAUGAGGAACUGGGAAG